This 131-nucleotide ribosomal RNA is filed under the name Prorocentrum minimum. RNAcentral describes it as "partial Eukaryotic large subunit ribosomal RNA". The record is from RNAcentral. Lineage: Eukaryota; Dinophyceae; Prorocentrales; Prorocentraceae.
UACCCUGAAAUCAGACUGCCUUGAGAUAGGGUUACUUGGCGGGUAAAGCAUUUUGUCUUCCGAGGAGUCUGGUGCGUUCCCAAUUGUCCUUGAGAGACCGAAGAGAAGGUCUAUUCUCACUCCUGGUCGAU